CGGCCGGGUGCCUAAUACAUGCAAGUCGAACGAACUCUGGUAUUGAUUGGUGCUUGCAUCAUGAUUUACAUUUGAGUGAGUGGCGAACUGGUGAGUAACACGUGGGAAACCUGCCCAGAAGCGGGGGAUAACACCUGGAAACAGAUGCUAAUACCGCAUAACAACUUGGACCGCAUGGUCCGAGCUUGAAAGAUGGCUUCGGCUAUCACUUUUGGAUGGUCCCGCGGCGUAUUAGCUAGAUGGUGGGGUAACGGCUCACCAUGGCAAUGAUACGUAGCCGACCUGAGAGGGUAAUCGGCCACAUUGGGACUGAGACACGGCCCAAACUCCUACGGGAGGCAGCAGUAGGGAAUCUUCCACAAUGGACGAAAGUCUGAUGGAGCAACGCCGCGUGAGUGAAGAAGGGUUUCGGCUCGUAAAACUCUGUUGUUAAAGAAGAACAUAUCUGAGAGUAACUGUUCAGGUAUUGACGGUAUUUAACCAGAAAGCCACGGCUAACUACGUGCCAGCAGCCGCGGUAAUACGUAGGUGGCAAGCGUUGUCCGGAUUUAUUGGGCGUAAAGCGAGCGCAGGCGGUUUUUUAAGUCUGAUGUGAAAGCCUUCGGCUCAACCGAAGAAGUGCAUCGGAAACUGGGAAACUUGAGUGCAGAAGAGGACAGUGGAACUCCAUGUGUAGCGGUGAAAUGCGUAGAUAUAUGGAAGAACACCAGUGGCGAAGGCGGCUGUCUGGUCUGUAACUGACGCUGAGGCUCGAAAGUAUGGGUAGCAAACAGGAUUAGAUACCCUGGUAGUCCAUACCGUAAACGAUGAAUGCUAAGUGUUGGAGGGUUUCCGCCCUUCAGUGCUGCAGCUAACGCAUUAAGCAUUCCGCCUGGGGAGUACGGCCGCAAGGCUGAAACUCAAAGGAAUUGACGGGGGCCCGCACAAGCGGUGGAGCAUGUGGUUUAAUUCGAAGCUACGCGAAGAACCUUACCAGGUCUUGACAUACUAUGCAAAUCUAAGAGAUUAGACGUUCCCUUCGGGGACAUGGAUACAGGUGGUGCAUGGUUGUCGUCAGCUCGUGUCGUGAGAUGUUGGGUUAAGUCCCGCAACGAGCGCAACCCUUAUUAUCAGUUGCCAGCAUUAAGUUGGGCACUCUGGUGAGACUGCCGGUGACAAACCGGAGGAAGGUGGGGAUGACGUCAAAUCAUCAUGCCCCUUAUGACCUGGGCUACACACGUGCUACAAUGGAUGGUACAACGAGUUGCGAACUCGCGAGAGUAAGCUAAUCUCUUAAAGCCAUUCUCAGUUCGGAUUGUAGGCUGCAACUCGCCUACAUGAAGUCGGAAUCGCUAGUAAUCGCGGAUCAGCAUGCCGCGGUGAAUACGUUCCCGGGCCUUGUACACACCGCCCGUCACACCAUGAGAGUUUGUAACACCCAAAGUCGGUGGGGUAACCUUUUAGGAAACCAGCCGCCUUAAGGGGUGACAGGA
This 1472-nucleotide ribosomal RNA is filed under the name Lactiplantibacillus plantarum. Its description in RNAcentral is "bacterial SSU rRNA". It matches the Rfam family "Bacterial small subunit ribosomal RNA". Lineage: Bacteria; Bacillati; Bacillota; Bacilli; Lactobacillales; Lactobacillaceae. The record is from RNAcentral.